Molecule: ribosomal RNA, 254 nt
Filed under: uncultured bacterium
Lineage: Bacteria
Description: partial 16S ribosomal RNA
Rfam family: Bacterial small subunit ribosomal RNA
Source: RNAcentral
UACGGGGGGAGCAAGCGUUGUUCGGAUUUACUGGGCGUAAAGGGCGCGUAGGCGGUCGUGACAAGUCACUUGUGAAAUCUCCGGGCUUAACUCGGAAAGGUCAACUGAUACUGCGGGGCUAGAGUGCGGAAGGGGCAACUGGAAUUCUCGGUGUAGCGGUGAAAUGCGUAGAUAUCGAGAGGAACACCUGCGGCGAAGGCGGGUUGCUGGGCCGACACUGACGCUGAUGCGCGAAAGCCAGGGGAGCGAACGGG